CCGAACCCGAGCUUCCCCGAUCUCCCCUCUUCCUCUCUCUGUUCUCUCGCGGACGAGCGACGCCGAAGCAAGCCGAGAGCUCCGGUGAUCUCCUUCGGCCGGCAUCGACGCCUAGUAAGCCCAGAUCCAGCCGAGGCCCUUCUCCUUCUAGCUCUGAUCUCUUCUCCUCGUCGCUGGUUCUCUCACGGGGACGAACCGACGCUAUUGGAUCGGGCCAGAUCUACUCGAUCGCCGGCGUGGAGGAGGCAGUUAGGGCUUCGGUGGUUACGGAGUUGGAGGCAUUGGGGAUCAGUGAGAAGAAUUCCUGGUACGUUGCUUCACGGAUCGGAUGGGGCGACGUUUUCUGGAGACGAUCGAUUGAGGUUUCGGUUGAUGGUGAUGGGAUCAAUUGAGUUGUUGGGCAGAGGAUUGAAGGGUUGAUUGAUGUCCUGGAUUGCUUGAUUUGAGAUCAGUGAUCUGCUUGUUGAUCUCUUCUCUUGAUCCGAUCAGUGAGGUGAGUUUUGUUGCUGUGAGGCUGGGAUUGUGAUCUUUGAGGUGUAUCCAGCAGCUUUCCCUAACCGGCAGCAACCCCUUUGAUUGUGAUCUAUUGGUGAUCACCUUGGAUUUGAGGAGUCUGAUUUGAGACAGGCGUCUCGACGUUGACUUCGGAGUUGGAUUGUACCUUCUAUUUGAGGCGGGUACCCUUUGACUUAUCUUGUUGAUAUUGUCUUGUGAUAUGUGCAGUUUAUAUAUGUUUACUAGUAAUUGGUAGAUCUUUUUCUUCUCUGGUUAUAGUAUUCUAUACCUGUAGGCGAUUAUUAGCGAUUGGUAGUUAGCAUAUUCCCUGGUUUAGUUAUUUGAUACUUGAUACAUGUUGCUACGAUUAGCAUCUAUACCUUAGUCUAGCAUGCUUUUCUUUCUUGCUAUGCUUAUCUAUGUUCGUAGAGAUGCAUAUCUAUAAUGCCCUACUCUACUGGAUUAGUUGCUUUACAUGUGUGAUACAUGCUCUUGGAUUCAUGAUACUUACAUC
Zingiber officinale is the source of this 1009-nucleotide long non-coding RNA. RefSeq lists it as uncharacterized. The record is from RefSeq and is a predicted model, not a curated record. Lineage: Eukaryota; Viridiplantae; Streptophyta; Magnoliopsida; Zingiberales; Zingiberaceae. The transcript is spliced from 5 exons.